UUUAUGGAGAGUUUGAUCCUGGCUCAGGAUGAACGCUGGCGGCGUGCCUAAUACAUGCAAGUCGAGCGAACGGACGAGAAGCUUGCUUAUCUGAUGUUAGCGGCGGACGGGUGAGUAACACGUGGAUAACCUACCUAUAAGACUGGGAUAACUUCGGGAAACCGGAGCUAAUACCGGAUAAUAUUUUGAACCGCAUGGUUC
Molecule: ribosomal RNA, 201 nt
Filed under: Staphylococcus aureus
Lineage: Bacteria; Bacillati; Bacillota; Bacilli; Caryophanales; Staphylococcaceae
Description: partial 16S ribosomal RNA
Rfam family: Bacterial small subunit ribosomal RNA
Source: RNAcentral